AAUUUGAAAUCUGGCGCCUUCGGUGUCCGAAGUUGUAAUUUGAAGAUUGUAACCUUGGGGUUGGCUCUUGUCUAUGUUUCUUGGAACAGGACGUCACAGAGGGUGAGAAUCCCGUGCGAUGAGAUGCCCAAUCCUAUGUAAGGUGCUUUCGAAGAGUCGAGUUGUUUGGGAAUGCAGCUCUAAGUGGGUGGUAAAUUCCAUCUAAAGCUAAAUAUUGGCGAGAGACCGAUAGCGAACAAGUACAGUGAUGGAAAGAUGAAAAGAACUUUGAAAAGAGAGUGAAAAAGUACGUGAAAUUGUUGAAAGGGAAGGGUUUGAGAUCAGACUCGAUAUUUUGUGAGCCUUGCCUUCGUGGCGGGGUGACCCGCAGCUUAUCGGGCCAGCAUCGGUUUGGGCGGUAGGAUAAUGGCGUAGGAAUGUGACUUUACUUCGGUGAAGUGUUAUAGCCUGCGUUGAUGCUGCCUGCCUAGACCGAGGACUGCGAUUUUAUCAAGGAUGCUGGCAUAAUGAUCCCAAACCGCC
Molecule: ribosomal RNA, 522 nt
Filed under: Meyerozyma guilliermondii
Lineage: Eukaryota; Fungi; Ascomycota; Pichiomycetes; Serinales; Debaryomycetaceae
Description: eukaryotic LSU rRNA
Rfam family: Eukaryotic large subunit ribosomal RNA
Source: RNAcentral